RNAcentral lists this ribosomal RNA (2923 nucleotides) under Klebsiella pneumoniae. RNAcentral describes it as "bacterial LSU rRNA". It matches the Rfam family "Bacterial large subunit ribosomal RNA". RNAcentral also lists the same sequence under 9 other names. The record is from RNAcentral. Lineage: Bacteria; Pseudomonadati; Pseudomonadota; Gammaproteobacteria; Enterobacterales; Enterobacteriaceae.
GGGUUGUGAGGUUAAGCGACUAAGCGUACACGGUGGAUGCCCUGGCAGUCAGAGGCGAUGAAGGACGUGCUAAUCUGCGAAAAGCGUCGGUAAGGUGAUAUGAACCGUUAUAACCGGCGAUGUCCGAAUGGGGAAACCCAGUGCAAUUCGUUGCACUAUCGUUAACUGAAUACAUAGGUUAACGAGGCGAACCGGGGGAACUGAAACAUCUAAGUACCCCGAGGAAAAGAAAUCAACCGAGAUUCCCCCAGUAGCGGCGAGCGAACGGGGAGCAGCCCAGAGUCUGAAUCAGCUUGUGUGUUAGUGGAACGGUCUGGAAAGUCCGACGGUACAGGGUGAUAGUCCCGUACACCAAAAUGCACAGGUUGUGAACUCGAAGAGUAGGGCGGGACACGUGGUAUCCUGUCUGAAUAUGGGGGGACCAUCCUCCAAGGCUAAAUACUCCUGACUGACCGAUAGUGAACCAGUACCGUGAGGGAAAGGCGAAAAGAACCCCGGCGAGGGGAGUGAAAAAGAACCUGAAACCGUGUACGUACAAGCAGUGGGAGCACCUUCGGGUGUGACUGCGUACCUUUUGUAUAAUGGGUCAGCGACUUAUAUUCUGUAGCAAGGUUAACCGUAUAGGGGAGCCGCAGGGAAACCGAGUCUUAACUGGGCGUUAAGUUGCAGGGUAUAGACCCGAAACCCGGUGAUCUAGCCAUGGGCAGGUUGAAGGUUGGGUAACACUAACUGGAGGACCGAACCGACUAAUGUUGAAAAAUUAGCGGAUGACUUGUGGCUGGGGGUGAAAGGCCAAUCAAACCGGGAGAUAGCUGGUUCUCCCCGAAAGCUAUUUAGGUAGCGCCUCGUGAACUCAUCUUCGGGGGUAGAGCACUGUUUCGGCUAGGGGGUCAUCCCGACUUACCAACCCGAUGCAAACUACGAAUACCGAAGAAUGUUAUCACGGGAGACACACGGCGGGUGCUAACGUCCGUCGUGAAGAGGGAAACAACCCAGACCGCCAGCUAAGGUCCCAAAGUCAUGGUUAAGUGGGAAACGAUGUGGGAAGGCACAGACAGCCAGGAUGUUGGCUUAGAAGCAGCCAUCAUUUAAAGAAAGCGUAAUAGCUCACUGGUCGAGUCGGCCUGCGCGGAAGAUGUAACGGGGCUAAACCAUGCACCGAAGCUGCGGCAGCGACACUAUGUGUUGUUGGGUAGGGGAGCGUUCUGUAAGCCUGCGAAGGUGUGCUGUGAGGCAUGCUGGAGGUAUCAGAAGUGCGAAUGCUGACAUAAGUAACGAUAAAGCGGGUGAAAAGCCCGCUCGCCGGAAGACCAAGGGUUCCUGUCCAACGUUAAUCGGGGCAGGGUGAGUCGACCCCUAAGGCGAGGCCGAAAGGCGUAGUCGAUGGGAAACAGGUUAAUAUUCCUGUACUUGGUGUUACUGCGAAGGGGGGACGGAGAAGGCUAUGUUAGCCGGGCGACGGUUGUCCCGGUUUAAGCAUGUAGGCUGAUUGUCCAGGCAAAUCCGGAUAAUCAAGGCUGAGGUGUGAUGACGAGGCACUACGGUGCUGAAGUAACAAAUGCCCUGCUUCCAGGAAAAGCCUCUAAGCAUCAGGUAACAUUAAAUCGUACCCCAAACCGACACAGGUGGUCAGGUAGAGAAUACCAAGGCGCUUGAGAGAACUCGGGUGAAGGAACUAGGCAAAAUGGUGCCGUAACUUCGGGAGAAGGCACGCUGGUGUGUAGGUGAAGUCCCUGCGGAUGGAGCUGAGACCAGUCGAAGAUACCAGCUGGCUGCAACUGUUUAUUAAAAACACAGCACUGUGCAAACACGAAAGUGGACGUAUACGGUGUGACGCCUGCCCGGUGCCGGAAGGUUAAUUGAUGGGGUUAUCCGUAAGGAGAAGCUCUUGAUCGAAGCCCCGGUAAACGGCGGCCGUAACUAUAACGGUCCUAAGGUAGCGAAAUUCCUUGUCGGGUAAGUUCCGACCUGCACGAAUGGCGUAAUGAUGGCCAGGCUGUCUCCACCCGAGACUCAGUGAAAUUGAACUCGCUGUGAAGAUGCAGUGUACCCGCGGCAAGACGGAAAGACCCCGUGAACCUUUACUAUAGCUUGACACUGAACAUUGAGCCUUGAUGUGUAGGAUAGGUGGGAGGCUUUGAAGCGUGGACGCCAGUCUGCGUGGAGCCAACCUUGAAAUACCACCCUUUAAUGUUUGAUGUUCUAACGUUGGCCCCUGACCGGGGUUGCGGACAGUGUCUGGUGGGUAGUUUGACUGGGGCGGUCUCCUCCCAAAGCGUAACGGAGGAGCACGAAGGUUAGCUAAUCCUGGUCGGACAUCAGGAGGUUAGUGCAAUGGCAUAAGCUAGCUUGACUGCGAGCGUGACGGCGCGAGCAGGUGCGAAAGCAGGUCAUAGUGAUCCGGUGGUUCUGAAUGGAAGGGCCAUCGCUCAACGGAUAAAAGGUACUCCGGGGAUAACAGGCUGAUACCGCCCAAGAGUUCAUAUCGACGGCGGUGUUUGGCACCUCGAUGUCGGCUCAUCACAUCCUGGGGCUGAAGUAGGUCCCAAGGGUAUGGCUGUUCGCCAUUUAAAGUGGUACGCGAGCUGGGUUUAGAACGUCGUGAGACAGUUCGGUCCCUAUCUGCCGUGGGCGCUGGAGAAUUGAGGGGGGCUGCUCCUAGUACGAGAGGACCGGAGUGGACGCAUCACUGGUGUUCGGGUUGUCAUGCCAAUGGCACUGCCCGGUAGCUAAAUGCGGAAGAGAUAAGUGCUGAAAGCAUCUAAGCACGAAACUUGCCCCGAGAUGAGUUCUCCCUGAGACUUUAAGUCUCCUGAAGGAACGUUGAAGACGACGACGUUGAUAGGCCGGGUGUGUAAGCGCAGCGAUGCGUUGAGCUAACCGGUACUAAUGAACCGUGAGGCUUAACCUUACAACGCCGAAG